GCCGGUGUGUUGGAACUGGUAGACGAGGAGGACUCAAAAUCCUUUGGGCUAAUCCCCCGUGCGGGUUCGAUUCCCGCCACCGGCACCA
This 88-nucleotide transfer RNA is filed under the name Firmicutes bacterium CAG:110. RNAcentral's name for it is "transfer RNA-Leu(CAA)". It matches the Rfam family "tRNA". Rfam says of the family: Transfer RNA (tRNA) molecules are approximately 80 nucleotides in length. Their secondary structure includes four short double-helical elements and three loops (D, anti-codon, and T loops). The record is from RNAcentral. Lineage: Bacteria; Bacillati; Bacillota. RNAcentral also lists the same sequence under 2 other names.